GGAGGAGAGCUUUGCUUUCACUCUUGCUUGGGAAGUCUUCCAUUGAUACUUAUUAGGCAUUUCUUGUGGUGAACCAAGAAAGGUUGUGAUGGGAGAGCAUCUAUUGGAGCAACCAAGUGACCAAAACUUGGAUUCUUGAAUCAUCAAGAUCGGGUGCGAAAAAUCCUUGAGACGUUGGACUGUUUCGUUGUGAAUCGGUAAAGUAAGUUUCGCCG
Long non-coding RNA from Gastrolobium bilobum, 215 nucleotides. RefSeq lists it as uncharacterized. The record is from RefSeq and is a predicted model, not a curated record. The transcript has 3 exons. Lineage: Eukaryota; Viridiplantae; Streptophyta; Magnoliopsida; Fabales; Fabaceae.